Molecule: ribosomal RNA, 461 nt
Filed under: uncultured beta proteobacterium
Lineage: Bacteria; Pseudomonadati; Pseudomonadota; Betaproteobacteria
Description: bacterial SSU rRNA
Rfam family: Bacterial small subunit ribosomal RNA
Source: RNAcentral
GGAAGCAGGGAUCGUAAGACCUUGUGCUUUUGGAGUGGCCGAUGCCUGAUUAGCUAGUUGGUAGGGUAAUGGCCUACCAAGGCGACGAUCAGUAGUUGGUCUGAGAGGACGACCAGCCACACUGGGACUGAGACACGGCCCAGACUCCUACGGGAGGCAGCAGUGGGGAAUUUUGGACAAUGGGCGCAAGCCUGAUCCAGCAAUGCCGCGUGAGUGAAGAAGGCCUUCGGGUUGUAAAGCUCUUUCAGUUGAGAAGAAAAGGUUGUGACUAAUAAUCACAACUCAUGACGGUAUCGACAGAAGAAGCACCGGCUAACUACGUGCCAGCAGCCGCGGUAAUACGUAGGGUGCGAGCGUUAAUCGGAAUUACUGGGCGUAAAGGGUGCGCAGGCGGCUUUGUAAGUCAGAUGUGAAAUCCCCGGGCUUAACCUGGGAAUUGCGUUUGAAACUACAAGGCUAGA